RNAcentral lists this ribosomal RNA (253 nucleotides) under uncultured bacterium. RNAcentral's name for it is "partial 16S ribosomal RNA". It matches the Rfam family "Bacterial small subunit ribosomal RNA", at positions 524 to 776 of the family's 1533-position model. The record is from RNAcentral.
UACAGAGGGGGCAAGCGUUGUUCGGAAUUACUGGGCGUAAAGGGCGCGUAGGCGGCCUUCUAAGUCGAACGUGAAAUCCCCGGGCUCAACCUGGGAAUGGCGAUGGUGACUGCAAGGCUAGAGUUUGGCAGAGGGUGGGGGAAUACCUAGUGGAGAAGUGAAAUUCGUAGAGAUUAGGUGGAACACCAGAGGCGAAGGCGCCUGCCUGGCCAAACAUUGACGCUGAGGCGCGAAAGCGUGGGGAGCAAACAGG